CCCCCUUUCCCCCAUAGCCUCCCGUCGAAGGCUUUCUGUUCGUCCGCCUGUGGGAAUCGCGAGGUCCCUCCUAUCUUCUUUCUGUUAAUUUCGAUUUCAAUUUAGGAUCCAAGGUUGUUGUUCUUUCUAUUCUGAAUUUCGAUCUGGAGAAUUCAAUGUUGUUUUAUCGUGUUUGUUAGGUUGGUGGUGAUUGUGUAGGUCGAACUUUGGAAUUUGUAUGUCGUUUAUGCUAGAUCCAGAUCCAUCUGUGUGACAGGAAUUGUUUGUUUCAUAAGCUAGGUCCAGAUCCGUACGUGUUACGGUUUUUUUUUAAGGUUGCAUAAGCUAGAUCCCGAUCCAGAUAUGUUGAUUUGUAGUGAGUUGUUAGAUAUAUCUUAUUUAGAGAACGAACUGAUUUAUUUUAUGUCGAAUCAUGUUGCUGUGGGGAGGGAUCUCAUGGUCUGAAACUAAUAUUUUUGAUAGAUGAUACACAUGUUUCAGUAGUCAUGAGCACCACUCCUCCUUUUGUUAGAUCUAAUCGGAUAUCUCCUGAGUUUGUAGUUCUAGAUCUAACUUAAUUAUAUUUGGCUACAACUUCCUCCGUUAUGUUCGAGGUGUAUACAACCUGAUGGAGCCUGUACGAGGUGUUUGAAGAUCCUAAUUGAUUGCUUCGUCUGAUACGACCUCGAUGCUAGAGGUGCUUGAAGAUGCUUACCGAUUGCUUCGUCAGAUAACGCCCUUCAUGUUGUACUAUGUUCACCGGUUAGUCGGCAGCUGGCCAGCGGUUGAAGAACGGCGAAUUUGCUAUUCUGGAGACCCAAGUUGUCCACAGGGAGCAGAGGGGAAACUGGUCGACAGUUGAUAAUUUUUGUUAGCUGAUCACGGGAUGUUCCUUGUUCUCGUUUGCUGUCGAAGACGGUGGUCUAUCUCCAAUACGGCGUAAAGCUGCAUGUUUGACUAUUUAAGGAGGUGUUGCGUUGUUUAUCGGAGGUUGUUAUAUCAGUUCUUUCUUCCAUUAAGGAAGGUUCGAUGGUUCGCCUCCUUUCUAUGCCCUGAUGGAGCCUCGACGAGGUGUUUGAAGAUCCUAAUUGAUUGCUUCGUCCGAGACCUCGUCUAUGCUAGAGGCGCUUGAAGAUGCUUACAGAUUGCUUUGUCAGACAACGCCCUUCAUGCUGUAGUUUGUUCACCGGUUCGGCCAUCUUCAUCGGCAGCUGGACAGUGGUUGAAGAACAGCAAAUUUCCUAUUCUGGAGACCCAAGUUGUACGCAGGGAGCAGAGGGGAAACUGGUCAACAGUUGAUACUUUUUGUUAGCUGAUCACGGGAUGUUCCUUCUUCCCGUUUGUUGUCUGAGACGAUGCUUCCUUAUCUCCAAAUAUGGCGUAAAGGUAAUUGUUUUGGUAAGCUGAUGAUGCGCAUGUAUGUGUACACAUGCGUGUUGUGUAAUUUCCUGUACCUAUACCUGGACCAGUAGGGUGGGACGGGACGGCCUUUGCCAUGUCGGGUGCGCUCGCUUGGCAGGCCACAAGGCAAUAAAAGUCUAUUUUAUUGUGUUCGCGGGGUGGAGAUCGCACGGGGAACUAUAUAUUUGUUCUAUUUGCCCCGGGUUCUCCACCCUGCCUUGGUGCUGUCUCCUCGUUCUGCUUGUUGUUUGAUCUGUUUGGUUGGUUCCACUACACGCCUUCCAUGAUUUCUAACGUCCAAAGCACACUAAACUAUGAAGAUCUCUGUUGAGGCAUAUUGAUAACGACAAAAGCGAAGGUACAUCUAAUUACUCAUGUUUAUGUACUUAAACUUUCUCAUCACUCAAGGAUCGAACCUGUUGUAGCUGAAUGCAUUAUACUGAAUAUCCCGCUCAUCCCAACUACAAUCCAAUAUGAGAAGUUGUUACACAUCAGACAGUUAUGUUUUUGCACAGCUUCCUUAAAUAACCAAAGUUCUUUUAUUUGUGUUUUCUUCAAGAUAAGAAGUUGUAACCUCUUGCACAAGUAUGCCAAACUGCCCAAUUUUAAGUUCAACAUCCAGUAUCAUUUGGUUCUCCAUAGCUAACUUUACAUAUGUACUCCAACUUUGUUAAACAUUCUGCCAACACAUGAACUACUGCCAACAUAUGAACUGCAGUUUAAGUGUUUUUUCGGGUUCUAUGCAUAUUUUGGAGGAUUUGUCCUUCCAAAAGUAUAUAUCCUGUGUGCUUUAUUAUUAUGAUUUGUUCUUCAGCUGUAUGUAUUUAGGGAGGUGCUGCAUUGUUUAUCGGUGGUUGUAUAUCAGUUCUCUAUUCGAGAAACCAUGUUACUACCUUUGUGUACUUGUUCUCCUUUCAAGUUUGUGGAUGUGCGAGUCUUGGCAGCUAUGGCUACAUAUGUCAGUUCUCUAUUUGAGAACUGUGUUAUUACCUCUGUAUACUUGUUCUCUUUUCAAGUUUGUGGGUGUCCGGUUCUUCUUGAUGGCGAUGGUUAACUCGACGGACUUCUUCCUGUGCUGGUCUUCAUGCUGAUGUUGUAUCAUGUCUCCUGCUGACAAGUAUAUGUGCUACAGAACAACAUGCUACUUGGUGGUGAUCAUUUGCGUUUAGGGUCCAAAAUCUUAUUUCUGCUUCCACGCCUGGGAUUGUCCUGAAGAACUCAAUUAAGGUUCUUUGGUCAUGCACAACUGGUGGCAUCCACGUCUGGUGAUGUAUAAUUUUUGCAAGUAAAUUCAUAGAUAUCCAUGAUGCAUUCUGGGAGCAAUCUAAUGUUUUUCGUCGAACUGUGUUGCAAUAGUAUUUUGCCUUUGUUCCGUUAUAUAAGUGGAUGGAAGGGCCUUAAUGAUUAUUAUUAUCCCUUCUAUUUCCUUGGUUACCUGUUAUGAUUUUACAUCUUUGCUUGUACGAGUAUUUUUUGUAGGCAUCCUCAUGUUUUUUGUUGUUGUUGAGGGAAUACUCGUGUUGUUUAUGUAAACAGUGUAGCCACAUUUUAGUGUUCCCUUUGUUCUUUUCAUUGGAAGGGCCUUAUUGGUUAUUAUUAUCCAUUCUAUUUCCUUGGUUGCCUGUGUAAGUCUGGGCUAUGAUCUUUUUCCUGAUUCGUUUGUAGGAGUCUAUACUAUGCAUUUUGCUGAUAGUUUUGGCGACCUGAAGAGGCAUUUUCAUGUUGUUCGUCAGUCAGUGUUGUGAUUUCUUUCCAUCUUCGUCUAUGCAUUUUGCUGAUAUUUUUGGCGACCUGAAGAGGCAUUGUCGUGUUGUUUGGCAGAAAGUGUUGUGAUUUCUAGUAAAUCUGUUUUGUUUUUCUUCCUUAAAAAAAUUUCCUUUAAGCAAAAAAGCCUUGGGAGUAUAUUGGUUAAUUAUUAUCUCUUUUAUUUCCUGGAGCUCUUAAUUUUUCUGUCUCGUUGGUAUGUACUAUGCAUUUGUACUGAAUUUUUUCUGACAAAUGUGAUAACGAGAUGCAUAGUUUUGUUAAGGUUGAUACACCACCCCCUGUCCGAGGGACUAUUCUUUUAGCUGUUCUUUUUCUGGCUCUUGUUUUUUGGUUCCCUGUUUAAUUAUUUUUGUGUUUUUCUGUCAUGGUAAAUAUAGAGCAUACUAAUCUAAUACUGCAGAGUUACACCCAUGUGACAUGAAAAUCUUGAAUCUUUGCAGGGGCUGGGCGGCAGACGGUUGGAUUCACAGAAACCAUCUGGCUAACUUGUCACCUCACCAUAAAAUACAUCAAUCGUGGAUCUUUAGCUCUGAACUGGAAAGAGCGUCACAGCAAAUAACAGCUGCGACUGAUGGUUCGACUCCAUCAAGAUUCAUUUUCAUUUGAAUAGUAUGAAUUGGAGUUUUGAGACAUUUGAAUUUUGAAUUGGUUCUCUUGUUGAUGGCCAAAAGACGGAAUUCUCCAUCUACAAACUCUAGAGUAGUUAGCUUGAUUCCAGUUUUAUGGAGGAUUUGGUAUGUAUUUAUUAUUCAAAACAUUAGGUUGGAAGGUAAAUUGUCCGUAUGGAGUAUUGUUCA
Brachypodium distachyon (stiff brome) is the source of this 3944-nucleotide long non-coding RNA. RefSeq lists it as uncharacterized. The record is from RefSeq and is a predicted model, not a curated record. NCBI's taxonomy places the organism in Eukaryota, Viridiplantae, Streptophyta, Magnoliopsida, Poales, Poaceae. The transcript is spliced from 2 exons.